AUCCACCCCUCUUUUUUAUGGCUUCCUACUCCCAGUGAAAACAUACUAUCCCAUGAGAAGCUCUGCUUUGCUUUUUACCCAGACAGAUUUACUACUCUCUGAAGUAUGAAGAACCAGAAUAAUAGUGAGAAAUUAUUCAUAAGAAUGUACAGCAAUAUAUUCAGGGAAAAAAAAUGAAAACUCAAUUCUUGAAGUUGAUGUUAGAAUGAGGAAAAAUGGCAAAAAUCCUCAGCCACUACUCGAUGUAUGAGUGAGCCAACUUCUGCGUCCUCCAUUACAGAAGCAGCAGGCGGUGAUAGGAAACUUGGACGGUUGUCGUUGACGUCUUGAAUGAUAAUCUGAGCUGUC
Long non-coding RNA from Hyla sarda, 348 nucleotides. RefSeq lists it as uncharacterized. The record is from RefSeq and is a predicted model, not a curated record. The transcript has 3 exons. NCBI's taxonomy places the organism in Eukaryota, Metazoa, Chordata, Amphibia, Anura, Hylidae.